AGUGAACGCUGGCGGUAGGCCUAACACAUGCAAGUCGAACGGCAGCACAGUAAGAGCUUGCUCUUACGGGUGGCGAGUGGCGGACGGGUGAGGAAUACAUCGGACUCUACUUUUUCGUGGGGGAUAACGUAGGGAAACUUACGCUAAUACCGCAUACGACCUACGGGUGAAAGCAGGGGAUCUUCGGACCUUGCGCGAUUGAAUGAGCCGAUGUCGGAUUAGCUAGUUGGCGGGGUAAAGGCCCACCAAGGCGACGAUCCGUAGCUGGUCUGAGAGGAUGAUCAGCCACACUGGAACUGAGACACGGUCCAGACUCCUACGGGAGGCAGCAGUGGGGAAUAUUGGACAAAGGGCGCAAGCCUGAUCCAGCCAUACCGCGUGGGUGAAGAAGGCCUUCGGGUUGUAAAGCCCUUUUGUUGGGAAAGAAAAGCAGCAGGUUAAUACCCCGCUGUUCUGACGGUACCCAAAGAAUAAGCACCGGCUAACUUCGUG
RNAcentral lists this ribosomal RNA (492 nucleotides) under uncultured bacterium. RNAcentral describes it as "partial 16S ribosomal RNA". It matches the Rfam family "Bacterial small subunit ribosomal RNA", at positions 29 to 507 of the family's 1533-position model. The record is from RNAcentral.